RNAcentral lists this transfer RNA (64 nucleotides) under Scapholeberis mucronata. Its description in RNAcentral is "tRNA-Ile". The record is from RNAcentral. Lineage: Eukaryota; Metazoa; Arthropoda; Branchiopoda; Diplostraca; Daphniidae.
AGUUUGAUGCCUGACUAAAGGGCUACCUCGAUACGGUAAAUCAUGUAAAAUUUUACUCAAGCUA